UACGUAGGGUCCGAGCGUUGUCCGGAAUUAUUGGGCGUAAAGGGCUCGUAGGCGGUUCGUCACGUCGGGAGUGAAAACUCGGGGCUUAACCCCGAGCCUGCUUCCGAUACGGGCAGACUAGAGGUAGGCAGGGGAGAGCGGAACUCCUGGUGUAGCGGUGGAAUGCGCAGAUAUCAGGAGGAACACCGGUGGCGAAGGCGGUUCUCUGGGCCUGUACUGACGCUGAGGAACGAAAGCGUGGGGAGCGAACAGG
This 253-nucleotide ribosomal RNA is filed under the name uncultured bacterium. RNAcentral's name for it is "partial 16S ribosomal RNA". It matches the Rfam family "Bacterial small subunit ribosomal RNA", at positions 524 to 776 of the family's 1533-position model. The record is from RNAcentral.